RNAcentral lists this long non-coding RNA (1031 nucleotides) under Pongo abelii (Sumatran orangutan). Its description in RNAcentral is "lncRNA (ENSPPYG00000035771.1)". Lineage: Eukaryota; Metazoa; Chordata; Mammalia; Primates; Hominidae. The record is from RNAcentral.
UUUUAUAGGAUUUUGUAGGUAAAGGUAAAUUACAGUCAAAGGGGGGUUGUUCUCUGGUGGGCAGAGUGGGGGUCACAGUUACUCAGUGGGGGAGGUUUCGAGCCAGGAUGAACAAGGAGAAGGAAUUUCACAAGACAAUGUCAUCAGUUAAGGCAGGAACAGGCCACUUUCACUUCUUUUGUGGUGGAAUGUCAUCACUUAAGGCAGGAACCGGCCAUCUGGAUGUGUAUGUGCAGGUCACAGGGGAUAUGGUGGCUUAGCUUGGGCUCAGAGGCCUGACACCCAGGACAGGCUGGCUCAGCCCCUUUGACUUCAGAUUUCAGGGAAGGCCAGGGAGCUGGAUUGGGUGCCUGAAUUUUCUGAGAAUUAUGUUUCUGAGAGGAUUUUGAAACCUAAACAGGAAUACUUUACACACAGGUCAUCAAGCAGGAACUGGGAAGUUCCGAAGCUGCCCUCCUUCGUGCCACCUCCUCCCUUCAGAGGCCAAGGGCUGCCAAGCUGUCUCCCACACACCUCAGUGAAAAGUCCCUGGCUCUCCUCCCAGCCACCUCACUGUGACUUUGUGAGGUUACCUAACCAAACUCCUGCAAAACCACACCACCUCUGCCUGUGAUGGGGACUAUUUGAAUCUACAGUGCCCUCGGCAUUCUACGAUAAGUGUUUAAUCGGCAUUUUAUGGGCAAGAUUACCAAGUGUGUAGUUCCCAGAAGCCUGCCUCCCAGAGGGAAGACAGCUUAACCUGUGUGGCACCCACCACCUUCCAGAUGAAUUAAAAAAAAAACCGUGUGUGAAGACCAGGAGCUGAAACUGCACUGCCAUGAAUCCGAGUUCCUCAACAUCUACUCUGCGACCUAUGGCAAGAAGACCCAGGAAAGGGACAUCUGCUCCUCUGAGGCAGAGCGGCUCCCCCCUUUUCGUUCCCAAGAACAUACUGACAGUGAUUGACCCAGCCAUUGCUAAUCUAAACCUUCUUUGAAGCAGAAAGAUGGUGAAUAUGGUAAUUUUUAUGGCUUACUACCAGAAUUUCUCUU